This is a long non-coding RNA of Topomyia yanbarensis, 935 nucleotides long. RefSeq lists it as uncharacterized. The record is from RefSeq and is a predicted model, not a curated record. The transcript is spliced from 3 exons. Lineage: Eukaryota; Metazoa; Arthropoda; Insecta; Diptera; Culicidae.
UGAUUAACAUACAUACAGCCACAUUUCCGGAAAAGGAUUGUAGUUCGUGAUGUGGCAGCGUGAUCAGUAAGCGCCCAGUCACUAAGCCAAAAAACUAAAGUGUGAAAUCACCGUCACGAAACGAGGGCCCACACUGAAAGUAACGCCCGUGGAAGAGAUAUUCAUGUGAAAUCUAACACCGUAAAAUAGAAGCCUCACUCCCUAAUCGAUUAAUAGGAUCGCUGGACAAAUAUUACAGCCGUAAGGUAGUAACCACGUCCCUCCUCGUUUUCCACCAGUAGCGUCGGAAUCGACUAACUAAUGUCAGUGGGCCAUUAAUCAAAACCACAAGCUUCAUCGAUCCAUCUAACCGUACAUUGGAAGAAAAGGUCCAAUAAGAAGAUUCAUCUACAGGAAAGCCUUUCAACAGGAAGGCUUUUUUUAACGGGUUACGAACUCCCUUGUAUCCGACGGAAGGACGGCGUUAUCACCGAAAUGAUUGAACCAAUCGUUCCUUAACCACGUGCCGUCCGUGAUAAGCACCACGAUCCAGCAGCGACUCAAUUGUACCGUAUUGUCGCUCCACGUCGCACGAGCGAACGAACAAUUCCAGGCAUUCCGCAGGGACAAAUCGUCCGCAGAUCCAGCAUAUUGAGAAGCCGUUAAAGAGCACGUGUUGGACAUUUGAUGACGUUUGGUAAGGCAAGAGUGCAGGAAGCAAACCUUUGCGAUCGAAGAUCGCUUUCGAAUCUGGCAUGCUAGAGAGCAGCGCCCGCAUGCGCACAGUAACAACUGCGUAUCAGGAUCGCCCCGGAGAAUCGACGAGCAACGCGUGCGCUGGUAUUAGCGCGCCCUAAGCAACGGAGUCAAGAAGAAAGGAAGGCCCAAUGUUAAGGUGGUAGUUCUAAGAAUGGCAUAGGGAACAGUGUGAAUAAUAAUCAAGCAUGUAGACGAAA